Molecule: ribosomal RNA, 279 nt
Filed under: uncultured bacterium
Lineage: Bacteria
Description: partial 16S ribosomal RNA
Rfam family: Bacterial small subunit ribosomal RNA
Source: RNAcentral
UGCCAGCCGCCGCGGUAAGACGGAGGGUGCAAACGUUGUUCGGAAUCACUGGGCAUAAAGAGCACGUAGGCGGCUAAGUCAGUCUGGUGUGAAAGCCCCCGGCUCAACCGGGGAAUUGCAUCGGAUACUGCUUGGCUUGAGGACGGUUGGGGUGAGUGGAACUCCUGGUGGAGCGGUGAAAUGCGUAGAUAUCAGGAGGAACACCAGUGGCGAAAGCGACUCUCUGGGCCAUAAUUGACGCUGAUGUGCGAAAGCUAGGGGAGCAAACGGGAUUAGAUA